UUCCGGUUGAUCCUGCCGGAGGCCAUUGCUAUCGGAGUCCGAUUUAGCCAUGCUAUUUGCGCGGGUUCAGCCCCGCAGCGGAAAGCUCAGUAACACGUGGCCAAGCUACCCUGUGGAUGGGAAUAAUCUCGGGAAACUGAGGCUAAUUCCCAAUAACGCUUCACUCCUGGAACGGGUGAAGCCGGAAACGCUCCGGCGCCACAGGAUGCGGCUGCGGUCGAUUAGGUAGACGGUGGGGUAACGGCCUACCGUGCCUAUAAUCGGUACGGGUUGUGAGAGCAAGAGCCCGGAGACGGAAUCUGAGACAAGAUUCCGGGCCCUACGGGGCGCAGCAGGCGCGAAACCUUUACACUGUACGAAAGUGCGAUAAGGGGACUCCGAGUGUGAAGGCAUAGAGCCUUCACUUUUGUACACCGUAAGGUGGUGUACGAAUAAGGACUGGGCAAGACCGGUGCCAGCCGCCGCGGUAAUACCGGCAGUCCGAGUGAUGGCCGAUAUUAUUGGGCCUAAAGCGUCCGUAGCUGGCUAGACAAGUCCGUUGGGAAAUCUGCCCGCUUAACGGGCAGGCGUCCAGCGGAAACUGUCUAGCUUGGGACCGGAAGACCUGAGGGGUACGUCUGGGGUAGGAGUGAAAUCCCGUAAUCCUGGACGGACCGCCGGUGGCGAAAGCGCCUCAGGAGAACGGAUCCGACAGUGAGGGACGAAAGCUAGGGUCUCGAACCGGAUUAGAUACCCGGGUAGUCCUAGCUGUAAACGAUGUCCGCUAGGUGUGGCGCAGGCUACGAGCCUGCGCUGUGCCGUAGGGAAGCCGAGAAGCGGACCGCCUGGGAAGUACGUCUGCAAGGAUGAAACUUAAAGGAAUUGGCGGGGGAGCACUACAACCGGAGGAGCCUGCGGUUUAAUUGGAUUCAACGCCGGA
Molecule: ribosomal RNA, 919 nt
Filed under: uncultured archaeon
Lineage: Archaea
Description: bacterial SSU rRNA
Rfam family: Archaeal small subunit ribosomal RNA
Source: RNAcentral